RNAcentral lists this unclassified non-coding RNA (397 nucleotides) under Hevea brasiliensis (rubber tree). Lineage: Eukaryota; Viridiplantae; Streptophyta; Magnoliopsida; Malpighiales; Euphorbiaceae. The record is from RNAcentral.
UGAACAGGAGCCGAGAAACUUAUGUUUGUGACUCUGCUCUUAAGCUUGUCUCAACAAUUAUAGCCAUUUUUAUUGUACUAUUUUUGUGCUGAAAAUGAACCGUUAAGGUGAUAUAGACAAAUCUGUGUGCUGGGUGAGGGGUGUCUCCUCAUCCCUUGGCUUUGUAGCUGACAAAGAUGGAAAGCUAUUUUAGACAGGCGGCUAGUCAAACGUUGUAAUGCAACCGUGACUCUACUUUUAAUCCAUUGGCAAGGUUCCUCCCCUGCUGAUGCUACUUGGGAAUAUGCUGAUGAGAUACAGUUGUGCUUUCCUUUCUUUUCCUUGGGGACAAGGAUUCCUGGGAAGGGAUUAUUGUUACAGACGAAACGGUACGUGUAGAGGAAUGAUGUUGGCGGGC